GUUUUAAUAAUUUAAUAAAAAUAUUAGUUUUGUAAACUAGAAAUAGGAUAAACCUUUAAAACU
Molecule: transfer RNA, 63 nt
Filed under: Nephotettix parvus
Lineage: Eukaryota; Metazoa; Arthropoda; Insecta; Hemiptera; Cicadellidae
Description: tRNA-Thr
Source: RNAcentral